GACGAACGCUGGCGGCGUGCUUAACACAUGCAAGUCGAACGGUGAAAGCGGAGCUUGCUCCGCUGGAUCAGUGGCGAACGGGUGAGUAAACGUGGGCAACCUGCCCCUCACUUCGGGAUAACUCCGGGAAACCGGGGCUAAUACCGGAUAUGACCUCCUUGGGCAUCCUGGGAGGUGGAAAGUUUUUCGGUGAGGGAUGGGCCCGCAGCCUAUCAGCUUGUUGGUGAGGUAGUGGCUCACCAAGGCGACGACGGGUAGCCGGCCUGAGAGGGCGACCGGCCACACUGGGACUGAGACACGGCCCAGACUCCUACGGGAGGCAGCAGUGGGGAAUAUUGCGCAAUGGGCGAAAGCCUGACGCAGCAACGCCGCGUGCGGGAUGACGGCCUUCGGGUUGUAAACCGCUUUCAGCAGGGAAGAAGCCGCAAGGUGACGGUACCUGCAGAAGAAGCACCGGCUAACUACGUGCCAGCCGCCGCCGUAA
RNAcentral lists this ribosomal RNA (484 nucleotides) under uncultured bacterium. RNAcentral describes it as "partial 16S ribosomal RNA". It matches the Rfam family "Bacterial small subunit ribosomal RNA", at positions 28 to 523 of the family's 1533-position model. The record is from RNAcentral.